Molecule: long non-coding RNA, 436 nt
Organism: Mastomys coucha (southern multimammate mouse)
Lineage: Eukaryota; Metazoa; Chordata; Mammalia; Rodentia; Muridae
Exons: 2
Source: RefSeq, a predicted model, not a curated record
AUCACAAUGAGCCAGUGGCUAGCCAACUUAUGACAAGAGCAGUACCGGCCCCAGGCUGUGGAGUGCCUUCAGGAGUGCUCCGCUGGAGUGCCCCGGUGGUCCUCCACUGGGAAACAUUCCUGUAGGCAUGGAUUCCUAGAUGAAAGGUGGACAAUAGUGGUAGGACUAAUGUCACGGCUCCAUGUGCUGCUGUGGUCAUAGAAGUGUGGACACAUUUGGGGGAGGACGGUGUGCCAACAGGUUUGAAAUCAUUUUGAAUGAAAAGGAAAAAGAACAAAAAGUAUAAAUGUGAGGCGCCUGAUUUGUCUCACAACUUAGAUCCUGCUGUCUACAAUUAGAAUUCUCAAGUUUGUAUUUGCCAUCAUUCAGUUGCAAAGAACCAUCAGAAACCCACAAAAACAACUGUACCUCAGCUAAAAAGCACCAUUUUCCUCGA